GGGCGCAAGCCUGAUGCAGCAACGCCGCGUGAGGGAUGACGGCCUUCGGGUUGUAAACCUCUUUUAGCAGGGAAGAAGCGAGAGUGACGGUACCUGCAGAAAAAGCGCCGGCUAACUACGUGCCAGCAGCCGCGGUAAUACGUAGGGCGCAAGCGUUAUCCGGAAUUAUUGGGCGUAAAGAGCUCGUAGGCGGUUUGUCGCGUCUGCUGUGAAAUCCCGAGGCUCAACCUCGGGCCUGCAGUGGGUACGGGCAGACUAGAGUGCGGUAGGGGAGAUUGGAAUUCCUGGUGUAGCGGUGGAAUGCGCAGAUAUCAGGAGGAACACCGAUGGCGAAGGCAGAUCUCUGGGCCGUAACUGACGCUGAGGAGCGAAAGGGUGGGGAGCAAACAGGCUUAGAUACCCUGGUAGUCCACCCCGUAAACGUUGGGAACUAGUUGUGGGGUCCUUUCCACGGAUUCCGUGACGCAGCUAACGCAUUAAGUUCCCCGCCUGGGGAGUACGGA
RNAcentral lists this ribosomal RNA (503 nucleotides) under Microbacterium sp. RNAcentral's name for it is "bacterial SSU rRNA". It matches the Rfam family "Bacterial small subunit ribosomal RNA", at positions 373 to 886 of the family's 1533-position model. The record is from RNAcentral. Lineage: Bacteria; Bacillati; Actinomycetota; Actinomycetes; Micrococcales; Microbacteriaceae.